UUAUAUCGACGCCAGCUAUCCUGAGGGA
Molecule: small RNA, 28 nt
Filed under: Bombyx mori (domestic silkworm)
Lineage: Eukaryota; Metazoa; Arthropoda; Insecta; Lepidoptera; Bombycidae
Description: piRNA piR-bmo-2042376
Source: RNAcentral